This 407-nucleotide ribosomal RNA is filed under the name uncultured bacterium. RNAcentral's name for it is "bacterial SSU rRNA". It matches the Rfam family "Bacterial small subunit ribosomal RNA", at positions 354 to 777 of the family's 1533-position model. The record is from RNAcentral.
GUGGGGAAUAUUGCACAAUGGGCGCAAGCCUGAUGCAGCAACGCUGCGUGAAGGAAGACGGUUUUCGGAUUGUAAACUUCUGUUCUUAGUGAAGAAUAAUGACGGUAGCUAAGGAGCAAGCCACGGCUAACUACGUGCCAGCAGCCGCGGUAAUACGUAGGUGGCAAGCGUUGUCCGGAAUUACUGGGUGUAAAGGGAGCGCAGGCGGGUGAUCAAGUCAGCUGUGAAAACUACGGGCUUAACCCGUAGACUGCAGUUGAAACUGUUCAUCUUGAGUGAAGUAGAGGUUGGCGGAAUUCCGAGUGUAGCGGUGAAAUGCGUAGAUAUUCGGAGGAACACCGGUGGCGAAGGCGGCCAACUGGGCUUUAACUGACGCUGAGGCUCGAAAGUGUGGGGAGCAAACAGGA